AUGGAGGCCCCUGGCCCUCCUGCUAUCCCACCGUGGGACUGCUUGCUAUGUCUAUACCCUUGGAAGACUGUGGCGCCCAGAGUAGCGUUCCUGCCCAGCGGGCUGAGAUGUCGCGAAGGCCUCUGGCUUCCCUGCUCCCUCCCAGGUCCAGAAAGUCUUUUCUACUCUACUGCUCACCCUCCAGAGCUCUGCUUGACUGCCGUCUUCUUCCAGGAUCUUCCACGGCCUCUUCCUCCUCUGACACCUUCUAGCUUCUCUGGAAAACCCGCGCUUGGCAACCUUCCAUUUGGUGUUAUCUGAUGGGUGAGACAGAGCUUCAAGAAGGGCUAACUAUCCAUGAGACACCAUACGUGCUGCCCAUGAUACAUUCAGGGGCCCACAGAAAUGUCACUCUUUCUUUUAAAAUCAAGAUGAAAAAACAAACCAAAAAAAUGAAUAUAUAACAAUGAAUCCAAACCGAUUAUAUUCAUCUUGAUACCUAUGCAGUGGUCUUUUAAAAUAAUUUUUGAUGGAGCUUC
Molecule: long non-coding RNA, 518 nt
Filed under: Mustela putorius furo (domestic ferret)
Lineage: Eukaryota; Metazoa; Chordata; Mammalia; Carnivora; Mustelidae
Description: lncRNA (ENSMPUG00000027824.1)
Source: RNAcentral